ACAAAGUUGCAAUCGCAGCGUCGCCGUCAGCUUCCGCCGCUGUGUCACAUCCAACAAAGCUGGCUCCAAACUGCGCGUACACGUUGCGAUCUAAGGCGAGGAGUCACGUUCGAUCGCCAUAGAACUUUGGUUUUUAUUGCCACUUAGUCAAUUGGUGGAGCCAUCCCACAUCUGUUUUCCAGUGGAAAGCACAAACGAGGGAGAUCACCAGGAUAAUGGCAGUCUGAAUACAUCGAGUGCCAUACCAAGUUGGGUACCACAGAUGGGCAUGAAAUUCGGCACUGUCGAUGAAGCAUGGACAUUCUGGGUUACUUAUGGGGGCAAAGUUGGAUUUGGUACUAGAAAGCGAUACCUCAACCCAA
Long non-coding RNA from Triticum aestivum (bread wheat), 362 nucleotides. RefSeq lists it as uncharacterized. The transcript has 3 exons. The record is from RefSeq and is a predicted model, not a curated record. Lineage: Eukaryota; Viridiplantae; Streptophyta; Magnoliopsida; Poales; Poaceae.